Molecule: long non-coding RNA, 822 nt
Organism: Salvia miltiorrhiza (redroot sage)
Lineage: Eukaryota; Viridiplantae; Streptophyta; Magnoliopsida; Lamiales; Lamiaceae
Exons: 3
Source: RefSeq, a predicted model, not a curated record
CACGUCUAAGUCAGUCGACAAAUAAUGUUUGUUUUUGUUGCUGUAAAUUCCAGGUCAUGAUCCCGGAUAACUAUACUGAGUUCAUGAACGGACUAACUUCGUUAGUGAAAAGUAAGUCCAUUCUGAUGAGCCGGAUUGAUGAUGCCGUGAAGAGAAUACUCAAGAGUUAAGUUCACAAUGGGCCUUCUCGAAAACCCACAAGCUGAUUACAGCAUGACUAACUAUUUAGGCAGUCAGGCACAUAGAACUGGCAAGAGAAGCAGUGAGGAAAUCCCUAGUCCAGUUGUUUUGUAGGAGCAAGCAUCUAGCUAGACAUUGUAGCUUUAUUUCAAGAAAAAUUACACAGAAGAUAAAACAAUGCUCCACUUCUGCACAAGGUUAUGAAUCAGGCACCAUAGAGGCCAAGAACCGAGAGAUGAUUCCAGAAAGUCUGUGCGCCUGCAUACAACGCGCUAGCUCAAGACACAGGUAUGUAUGGUAUGCAUUAGUUGCCAAAGCUGUAGUUUUUUUAACUCUGUUGAACGAUUCUCUGCGUCUCAGUUUUACUUUCUGCCUGCAUUCUAGCAGAUAUUUUGUUAGAGGUUGGUGCUGUGCAUAUUAACAAUAGAUGAAUUUGUAGGUAGUGAUAAUGGGAGUAGAAGCAUGAGUUAGUGCUCCUAAUGGAAAUCCAAUUCAAAUAUUAUUUGAAAAUUGAAGCGUUUCGCCGCUUCCGGAUUAGUUGCCCAGCUCUAAUUUGCAGUUGAUGAUUAAACACAAAUGUACCAAUGAGUAACCAUUUUUUGAAUGCGAAGAUGUGAAUUGGAAUCCACUUUGGAUAAAACA